Molecule: long non-coding RNA, 1929 nt
Organism: Monodelphis domestica (gray short-tailed opossum)
Lineage: Eukaryota; Metazoa; Chordata; Mammalia; Didelphimorphia; Didelphidae
Source: Ensembl
AUGUCAGAGCUAAAGGAUCUUCAAAUAUGGGAUGUUAUAACAGAGAAGAUUAAAACCAAAAGGGCUUUUAUGGAUCUUCUAGCCCAACUCCCUCAGUUUCAGAUAAGAAAACUGAGGCAGAGAGAAGUUCAGGGUCACACAGGUAGUAUCUUCAGCAGAAUUGAAACUCAAGUCUUCCAGCUUCUAUUCACUGAGCCACCAAGCUGCCUUUAGCACUAUGAAUGGUUCUCUAGUCACUGUCAUGAGUCAGUCCUAUUGCUUCCCCAACAACUUGAGAUGUGAUGCUAAGGAUAGCUGGACCCAGGCAAGGAAGCUCACCAGGAGGCAGCCUCCGGGUUCUUCCUGCCUUCUCACAGCCACACACCCCCUUUUGGUCCUCUCAGCUGGACCUCUCAAAUUAAAGCUGGUGUAGUCAGGACCCCAAUCAACUUCCUGGUGGGAAGAGGGGAACAGCCUUGAGAUGUGUUUCACUUAAUUCUCACGUUAGGCAGGGAUUUCACUUGGUCCUGAUGGCCACCAAAACAUUCACAAAACCAUCCAACGUUCAGCCAAGCUCAGCUCCACUUGGGGAAAACUUGGUGGUCUGAAGAGUACACACAGUCCUUUCUCCCCAGCCUCCUCUCCAGCUCUCCUCCAGGCUCCCCUGGGCCCAGAGAGCACAAAGAAUCCUGGUGCUCAGAGAUGUCCCCAAAGCUUUUACCUUUAAAGGAAAUGUAAUUUUUGUUCAUCAUAAGUGAAAACAAGCAUGAAUAUAUUUAAAUGGCUAAUAUUUAGACUGCAGGGGCAUAAUGGCAUCACAGUCCAAAUGGGGCCAACUCCUGCCUCGAGUUCAUUAAUCAGAUAACCACAUGACCACCAGCAGUGACCAAUUGGUGCUGGGUUUCUCCAGCAUCCCAGCUGUUCUUAAUUGAAGCCGCCUCUGCUAAAUUGGAUUGGGGUGUGAGGCCAAGCCAGUUUUUCUGAGAAGGCAUCAACCCUCCCAACACAGCUACCUCUGUGAUCCCUGGCAAACCGAAAAAUCGUUGUUUCCUCCAGUAGGGUCAGCCAGCAUCCCAAGAAUGGUAUGUCUCUCUCCCCUCUUGUGCUCUGUGCUCUAGCUGGUGGGUUGGGUGACUGGCAGGAGUUCCAGAGAAAUAACUUUUUACUCCUUGUUGCCUAUUCUCCUGCAUCGGGUUGGUUGCCCUCCUAGGCCUCCUAUGGGGCAGUGGGCAGGGGCUGUGGCUGCCAUCAACAGCUUGCUUAAUGAUUGAUUAUGGGGCCAUAGGCUCUGGCCCAAGGAACCCAGAAAAUGUCAAGGACUUCAACUCAAUCUCUGUCUGCCAUCCAUCCAAAAGGGCCAAACCUUGGGGAAGCCAGAAAGGAAAUUACACAGUGGUCUGAGAAAGGGCUUGGAGACCCAGUCAGGCAGAAGGAAAGCUAUGGGGAUGGGGGGGGAAGUUAGCUCUGGUUUGUAUAACUGUGGCCCACAGGAUCCCCAGAAAAUGAACCGAGGUUUGAGAUACAUUGUGUAUCGGCAUCUACUCAAAUUAUAGCUCAAGUUGUCUCCAGUGUGUUUACUAAUAACAGUCAAAGUCAAACAUAUAAAUUCAAAGCAAAAUAAUAGUAACUAAAUACAAAAACUAGUAAUAAGAAUAAGUGCCCUUGAAUACCCAGGGGAAUAUGCUUUCUGACAGGGUAUUGCAGUUGAGUCAUUUCAGUUGUGACUUACUCUUUGUGACACCAUUUUUUUUCUUGGCAUUGACACUGGAGUGGUUUGCCAUUUCCUUCUCCAGCUCAUUUUAGAGAGGAAGGACCUUUUAAAAUUUUAUUUAUUUAUUUAUUGCAUGAAUGUUCUCAGCCAUCUUCCACUCUCCAUCUCUUCCCUGCUUUAGAGAAGGCAUCAUUUAACAAAAAAAUAAAAUAAAAAUAAAUAUAUAUAUAUGUGUAUAU